AUUGAACGCUGGCGGCAGGCCUAACACAUGCAAGUCGAGCGGAUGAAGGGAGCUUUCUCCUGGAUUCAGCGGCGGGCGGGUGAGUAAUGCCUAGGAAUCUGCCUGGUAGUGGGGGAUAACGUCCGGAAACGGGCGCUAAUACCGCAUACGUCCUGAGGGAGAAAGUGGGGGAUCUUCGGACCUCACGCUAUCAGAUGAGCCUAGGUCGGAUUAGCUAGUUGGUGGGGUAAAGGCCUACCAAGGCGACGAUCCGUAACUGGUCUGAGAGGAUGAUCAGUCACACUGGAACUGAGACACGGUCCAGACUCCUACGGGAGGCAGCAGUGGGGAAUAUUGGACAAUGGGCGAAAGCCUGAUCCAGCCAUGCCGCGUGUGUGAAGAAGGUCUUCGGAUUGUAAAGCACUUUAAGUUGGGAGGAAGGGCAGUAAGUUAAUACCUUGCUGUUUUGACGUUACCAACAGAAUAAGCACCGGCUAACUUCGUG
Molecule: ribosomal RNA, 484 nt
Filed under: uncultured bacterium
Lineage: Bacteria
Description: partial 16S ribosomal RNA
Rfam family: Bacterial small subunit ribosomal RNA
Source: RNAcentral